RNAcentral lists this long non-coding RNA (536 nucleotides) under Nicotiana tabacum (common tobacco). RNAcentral describes it as "long non-coding RNA (NTAB_LNC008325)". Lineage: Eukaryota; Viridiplantae; Streptophyta; Magnoliopsida; Solanales; Solanaceae. The record is from RNAcentral.
UUAAAACCCUAAUGCUGACUUAAUGGAAAAGUUCAGUUUAGGGUUUAAUACCCUAAUGUUGACUGAAUGAAAAAAGUUCAGUUUAGGGUUUAAAACCCUAAUGCUGACUAAAUGGAAAAAGUUCAGUUUAGGGUUUUAAAACCCCUAAUGCUGACUGAAGGAAAGAGUUCAGUUUAGGGUUUAAAACCCCUAAUGCUGACUGAAGGAAAGAGUUCAGUUUAGGGUUUAAAACCCUAAUGCUGACUGAAUGGAAAAUUUCAGUUUACGGUUUAAAACCCUAAUGCUGACUGAAAGGAAAAAGUUCAGUUUAGGGUUUAAAACCCUAAUGCUGACUGAUAGAGUUCAGUUUAGGGUUUAAAACCCUAAUGCUGACUGAAAGAGUUUAGUUUAGGGUUUAAAACCCUAAUGCUGACAGAAGGAAAAGUUCAGUUUAGGGUUUAAAACCCUAAUGCUGACUAAAUGGAAAAGUUCAGUUUAGGGUUUAAAACCCUAAUGUUGACUGGCUGGGGACAAAGUUCGAGAAUACUAACUGACCU